UUUAGAUUUGAAAUGAAUCGCCGUCUUAUCGCUUAGGUGGCGUUAGCGGUCGCAAUUGAUCACGUCUAAAAGAAAAUAUUUUCUCUUUCUUUUUUCUGAUAAUGAAGCAAAAGGGUUAAUUGACAGCAUACACACGAGGAUGACAGAGAGACCGGAAGACCUAGAAAAAUAUGCUUUUAUUUCAAUAAAAUAACAAUGUCGGGAGAAUAAACGAUGCCGAUAGAUAAA
RNAcentral lists this long non-coding RNA (228 nucleotides) under Polistes fuscatus (common paper wasp). Its description in RNAcentral is "uncharacterized LOC122525374". The record is from RNAcentral. Lineage: Eukaryota; Metazoa; Arthropoda; Insecta; Hymenoptera; Vespidae.